UACGGGGGGGGCAAGCGUUGUUCGGAAUUACUGGGCGUAAAGGGCUCGUAGGCGGCCAACUAAGUCAGACGUGAAAUCCCUCGGCUUAACCGGGGAGCUGCGUCUGAUACUGGUUGGCUUGAAUCCGGGAGAGGGAUGUGGAAUUCCAGGUGUAGCGGUGAAAUGCGUAGAUAUCUGGAGGAACACCGGUGGCGAAGGCGGCAUCCUGGACCGGUAUUGACGCUGAGGAGCGAAAGCCAGGGGAGCAAACAGG
This 253-nucleotide ribosomal RNA is filed under the name uncultured bacterium. RNAcentral describes it as "partial 16S ribosomal RNA". It matches the Rfam family "Bacterial small subunit ribosomal RNA", at positions 524 to 776 of the family's 1533-position model. The record is from RNAcentral.